Molecule: long non-coding RNA, 545 nt
Filed under: Ostreococcus sp. 'lucimarinus'
Lineage: Eukaryota; Viridiplantae; Chlorophyta; Mamiellophyceae; Mamiellales; Bathycoccaceae
Description: long non-coding RNA (OLUC_LNC000008)
Source: RNAcentral
AUAUUCUGUGUGUUACGAAAUAGCACUUCUCUUGAAAUGCUUUCAAUGAUGUAAGUUGUGACUGUCUCUAUGUUAUGCACAGAAUUUUAGAGAAAGUAAAAUCCCUACCUCACGUUCCAACGACUCAACUGAUGUAGUGCACAUGUUUUCAACGGCCUCUUCACAUAUGCCUUCAACCUUCAUCUCUGUUCCGCGAAAGAAGAAAGACCAAAUCAUGACUGAAUUGAGCAGAUCAUAGGACAAUGGAGUCGUCUUACUAAUGCCUAUGUAGUCAUAUAAGUGCCAUCGAGGUGCAGCAGAUCUUAUACAAUUUUCAAGUCCCCCAAUAUCGAAUGACAUUCUUUUCAGAGCGUACAAAGCUUCGUUUGAGUACAGAAUAUCUUCAGGUAACAUUGAAGCAUCGAAUGUUUUGUGCAUUUGUAACCAAUGUGUAGCAACACGUUUAGUUGCCUGCAAACAAUACUCUCUUGUUCUACCCUGUGCAUUAAUCGAAAAGAAAUAAAAGGACACUAAAAUGUCGCUCCCCCACUCGGAAAAAAACGUGU